GAAGCCCUACGGGACGCAGCAGUGGGGAAUAUUGGACAAUGGGGGAAACCCUGAUCCAGCGACGCCGCGUGAGUGAAGAAGUAUUUCGGUACGUAAAGCUCUAUCAGCAGGAAAGAAAAUGACGGUACCUGACUAAGAAGCCCCGGCUAACUACGUGCCAGCAGCCGCGGUAAUACGUAGGGGGCAAGUGUGAUCCGGAUUUACUGGGUGUAAAGGGAGCGUAGACGGCAGCGCAAGUCUGGAGUGAAAUGCCGGGG
RNAcentral lists this ribosomal RNA (257 nucleotides) under uncultured bacterium. Its description in RNAcentral is "partial 16S ribosomal RNA". It matches the Rfam family "Bacterial small subunit ribosomal RNA", at positions 333 to 607 of the family's 1533-position model. The record is from RNAcentral.